GCCUGUGUGCACGAUCACUAGUGAUUGGGUUCACCAAAUUUUGUUGGAGAAAACGUCCCCUAUUUUUUCCCCCUAUUUUUUUGAUUUUUCCAGCACUAGUGGUCACCACCGACCGUCGGUUCGUUCUUCGGGUUGCGGUGACAUAGCCCUCCUACCGUCGACCACCAUCGCAUCGAUCGUGACCUUUGAUCUAUCGAACAAAGGGGGACCACGCGGUCCCCUAUUUUGUUAAAGGACCACGGGAUGAAGAAGAAGGAAGAAAGAAAAGA
Molecule: long non-coding RNA, 269 nt
Filed under: Elaeis guineensis (African oil palm)
Lineage: Eukaryota; Viridiplantae; Streptophyta; Magnoliopsida; Arecales; Arecaceae
Description: long non-coding RNA (EGUI_LNC064372)
Source: RNAcentral